Molecule: RNA transcript, 1677 nt
Organism: Diospyros lotus (date-plum)
Lineage: Eukaryota; Viridiplantae; Streptophyta; Magnoliopsida; Ericales; Ebenaceae
Gene name: transcription factor bHLH92
Exons: 4
Source: RefSeq, a predicted model, not a curated record
UUCUAAAUUUCGAAAUUCGCGGGGAAGAAGAAGAAGAGGCUUCGGGUUCGGGAAGAGAAUCAGCGCCAUGGACGAAUUCUUCCAAAGCGAUCCUGCGGAUUUCUGGCUGGUAGAAGACUACUUUCCGGUCAACCGAAGCGCUUUUGUAGGAUACGAGAGCCGGAAAAGUGAAGGAGGCGCCGGCGGCGGGAGCCAACUGUUGAGACCGAAUCGUCAGAAUGCGAACAAGAGGAUGAUAGAGUUCUGGAGGCGGCGUGCUCGGGCGGCGGCUCCGGUGCAGGCGGAAGGUGGCGAAUCGGAGAGAGAGCGGUGUCGGCGGCACAUGAUCAGUGAGAGGAUGAGGAGAGAGAAAGAGAAGCAGGGCUUCAUAGCUCUGCAUUCUAUGUUGCCCCCUGGAACCAAGAGAGAUAAGAGGUCGAUAGUUGAAGCGGCAGCCACGGAAGUUGAGGAGCUUCAAAGGUGUAAAGAGGAGUUGGAGAGGAGAAAGGAGGAAAUGGAGAGGAAAUUGUUGUUGGCGAGGACAGAGCAGCCCCGGGAAAUGGAGGGGGCGAAGAUCAGAAUAAGGGUGGGGAAUCCUUUCUCCGGGACUGAUUCGAUGGUUGAGGUUCUGAAAUGUCUCAGGAACAUGGGGACCAAGACCAGAGCUAUCCAAUCCCAGUUUUCACCCCAGGAAUUAUCGGCAGUCUUGCACAUUGAAUCAGAGAUGGAAGCAGCAGAAGUUGAGAAGAAGGUGCAGGAGACAUUCCGUGAAGCUGAGAGGAAGUUUCGUUUCAGUUGCCCACCCGACACUUCAAAAAGUUACAGUGAAGAACACAUCACACAUGGAUGGGCAUCUUAAUUAAUUAAUUAUUAAUCCUUGUGGAAGAUUCAACGACAUUGUGGAACUUCAGAUAUCAAUGAUGACUCACCACCGGUACAGCAGGUAGCACGAGGAUUAAAGAUGCAUCAUCAUUAUCAAUCAAGAAGAUAUGAUUAUUAUAUUGAGGGUUCGCAUCAAAACGAUUAUCUCAAGAAGAUAUGAUUAUGGCACAACCUAACUGUCAUCCCAAGUUUAUUGAAUGAAGAGGAAGUCAAACGCGAUGAAACCCCCACCUUGGGCUAUUACCGUAGUACACACAGAAAGGACAGUCCAAGAAAUCAGACCAUCAUUAAGUCCAACCAUUCAACUACUCGCGCACAUGGCAGACGAAAAUAUGUAGCAACAAUCCCCUCUUUUAUGUAACAAAUAAUAAUAUUAACCAUGAGUCAAAACAUAGCAACAAGCUUUGAACUAAAAGUCGUUUUAACAUUCAAACCCUUAAUAUGGGGGGAAAAAAAAAUUAUCCAGUUAAAAAAGCAAAACACGGAUCAUCAAGCAAAGAGUGUCCAAGAAAACAUUUGAAUACUAAAUGGGCAUUUAUGUCUAGACUGCAGGGUGGGUGAUGCCUCUCACUUGAGAGGAAUGAACCUAGAGGAGUGGGUGGCACCAAUACCAGGUCUUCCAUGCUUGACUGGCUUGUAUGAGAUCGAGAAUUCAGCCAGAUAAUGGCCGAUCAUUUCCGGCUUGAUCUCAACUGUAGUGAAGGCUUUCCCGUUGUACACACCAAUAACACUUCCAAUCAUCUCUGGCACGAUGAUCAUAUUCCGCAAGUGGGUUUUCACAAUAUCUGGCUUCUCACCCGGUGGGGCCUCGCGUUU